GAUGAACGCUGGCGGCGUGCCUAAUACAUGCAAGUCGAGCGAACAGACGAGGAGCUCGCUCCUCUGACGUUAGCGGCGGGCGGGUGAGUAACACGUGGAUAACCUACCUAUAAGACUGGGAUAACUUCGGGAAACCGGAUCCAAUACCGGAUAAUAUAUUGAACCGCAUGGUUCAAUAGAGCAUGACGGUUUUGCUGUCACUUAUAGAUGGAUCCGCGCUGCAUUAGUUAGUUGGUAAGGUAACGGCUUACCAAGGCAACGAUGCGUAGCCGACCGGAGAGGGUGAUCGGCCACACGGAAACUGGAACAGGGUCCGGACUCCUAGGGGGGGCAGCGGGAGGAAAACUGCCGCAAGGGGCGAAGGCCUAACGAGGCAACGCGGGGGGGGUGAGAAGGGUCUUCGGUUGGUAAAACUCUGUUAUUGGGAAAAAACAAAUGUGUAAGUAACGAUGCUGGUCUUAAGGUAACCAAAGCAGAAGGCCACGGCUAACUAGGU
RNAcentral lists this ribosomal RNA (496 nucleotides) under uncultured bacterium. Its description in RNAcentral is "partial 16S ribosomal RNA". It matches the Rfam family "Bacterial small subunit ribosomal RNA", at positions 28 to 506 of the family's 1533-position model. The record is from RNAcentral.